UAUGUGAUCGUCUCUCGCAUAUCAAUAAGCGGAGGAAAAGAAACUAACAAGGAUUCCCCUAGUAACGGCGAGUGAAGCGGGAAGAGCUCAAAUUUGAAAUCUUAAAGGGUUUCCCUUUACGAAUUGUAGUUUAAAGAAGUGUUUUCUGUUGAGGUUUUGGUAAAGGUUCUUUGGAAUAGGACAUCAUAGAGGGUGAGAAUCCCGUAUUUGACCUUUACUUUCAACUUUGUGAUACACUUUCAAAGAGUCGGAUUGUUUGGGAAUGCAGUCCAAAAUGGGUGGUAAAUUUCAUCUAAAGCUAAAUAUUGGCGAGAGACCGAUAGCGAACAAGUACCGUGAGGGAAAGAUGAAAAGAACUUUGAAAAGAGAGUUAAACAGUACGUGAAAUUGUCAAAAGGGAAGCGUUUGACACCAGUGUUGUUUUUCUGAAAAUCAAUUAAAGAACUGUUUAUGCUAAGCUGUUUAGACUUUAUCAGCUAACUGUUUAGUUUUGAGCUUUUCUUUAAUGCACUUUUCAGUUAACAAGUCAACAUCAAUUUCUUUUGCUGUAAAAAAGCUUGAGGAAGGUGGCUUGAGAUUCGUCUUAAGUGUUUAUAGCCUCUUGCCUAUGCAGUCGGAGAGAUUGAGGUCUGCAGCGUAGAUCCUUCGGGGCUAAAUGCAUUUGUGCUAAGUUAUAGCAUUUUAUAGACAACUUGUUGACUAUGAUUUGUCUUGUAGCUUACUCGCUUAUGUUAUUUUACCUACGCUUAGGAUGUUGAUAUCGCGCUCUCACUG
This 774-nucleotide ribosomal RNA is filed under the name uncultured Neocallimastigales. Its description in RNAcentral is "partial large subunit ribosomal RNA". It matches the Rfam family "Eukaryotic large subunit ribosomal RNA", at positions 24 to 644 of the family's 3401-position model. The record is from RNAcentral. Lineage: Eukaryota; Fungi; Neocallimastigomycota; Neocallimastigomycetes; Neocallimastigales.